RNAcentral lists this ribosomal RNA (501 nucleotides) under uncultured bacterium. RNAcentral describes it as "bacterial SSU rRNA". It matches the Rfam family "Bacterial small subunit ribosomal RNA", at positions 8 to 524 of the family's 1533-position model. The record is from RNAcentral.
AGAGUUUGAUCAUGGCUCAGGGUUAACGCUGGCGGCGUGCCUAACACAUGCAAGUCGAACGGUUCUAAGCGCGAGCUUAGGAUAGUGGCGAACGGGUGAGUAAAAGGUAGGAAUCUACCCCUUGGACGGAGAUAGCUACUGGAAACAGUAGGUAAACUUCGAUAAGCCCGAGAGGGGAAAGUGGUGAGACAGCCGAGGGAUGAGCCUACUCUCCAUCAGGUAGUUGGUGAGAUAAAAGCUUACCAAGCCGAUGACGGAUAACCGGUGUGAGAGCAUGAACGGUCACAAGGGCACUGAGAGACGGGCCCUACUCCUACGGGAGGCAGCAGUGGGGAAUCUUGGACAAUGGGCGAAAGCCUGAUCCAGCGACGCCGCGUGGAGGAAGAAGUCCUUCGGGAUGUAAACUUCUGAACUAGCCGAAUAAAAGGCCUGUGGACACACAGGAGAAGAAAGUAGGCUAGGAAAAGUCCCGGCUAACUACGUGCCAGCAGCCGCGGUAAU